RNAcentral lists this non-coding RNA (31 nucleotides) under Homo sapiens (human). The record is from RNAcentral. Lineage: Eukaryota; Metazoa; Chordata; Mammalia; Primates; Hominidae.
UGUCCUUCCAGCAAAUACAUGUCCCACAAGU